This 1113-nucleotide ribosomal RNA is filed under the name Triticum aestivum (bread wheat). RNAcentral's name for it is "partial small subunit ribosomal RNA". Lineage: Eukaryota; Viridiplantae; Streptophyta; Magnoliopsida; Poales; Poaceae. The record is from RNAcentral.
AUGGCGGCCCAGGAGGAACAACCGGACUGGUUGAACCUCCCAUCCGAUCUGCUGACGAUCAUCGCGCGGAGGUCCCGCGACGCCGUCACCGGGCUCAUAGCGUUCCGUUCCGUGUGCCGGGCAUGGCGCGCCGCGUCAGGGCCAGCGCCGCGCCUCCUCCUCCCCCGUCCCCGUGCCGCGCGGCUCGUCUUCCCCUUGGCGCGCGGCUGGUCGAUCGUCUUCCAUGUCCACGACACCUCAUGCCACCUCUCGCACCUGGCCACGGGCGCCACGGCGGCGCUGCCCGCUCUCACCGCCUUCCGCGACGCGGGCAGCGACGUGGUCAGGCACGCAAGAUACGUGGACUGCAACGACGUGGACUACCUCGACUUCACGGACUGCCCGCGCUUCGCCGUCCACCUCCCGCCCGGCCCGCCGGCGGCGACCGGCAUGACGGUCAUGAUGUGCCACAUGAUGCACCGGGAGGCGGGCAUGUUCUUCUGCCGCCCCGGAGACCCGGCCUGGACCAAGGUGGGGGAGCCCAACAACAUAGGCCACGGCUACUUCGACUUGGCCUACCACGACGGCAAAAUGUUCGGCAUGCAGCACAACAACUACCAGAUGUCGGUGUUCGACGCUGCCACACUCGGCGCCCUGCAGCUGGUCGGCCGCCCGCCGGCCACCACCAUGUUUGCCAACAAGAUGUACGGCAUCGGCGUUGAGAUGGAAAAGUUCGAUUACGCCCACCUCGUUGCGCUGCCAAGCAAGCUGGUUCUUGUCAGGACCACCGUCAAGUCGGCCCGCCCGGUGGCCUUCACCAUCUUCGAGUUGGUCUUUUGCCCUGAUGGGCAGCUCGCCUGGCGCAAGGUGACCGAUGCUGGUAACUACGAAUUGUUCCUGGAUGGAUAUCACGCCACCUUCAGGGAAAACGACGGCGCCAACGGGAGCGGGACUCGGAUCUACUAUGUUCAUGACACGCCCUCGGCCGGCUGCUACAAAAACAAGCCGAAAUGCGGCACGGCGGCCUACUGCUACAGCGUCGAGGACAACAAGUUGGAAUGCGUCUACAAGUCAUCACCCAAGGACGAUGGUCCUCCCGGCUGCUCAACUAAGCCUAGUUGGUUUAUUCCCUAA